AAUAGAUACCCGGGUAGUCCACGCCGUAAACGAUGAGUGCUAAGUGGUUGGGGGGUUUCCGCCCCUCAGUGCUGCAGCUAACGCAUUAAGCACUCCGCCUGGGGAGUACGGUCGCAAGACUGAAACUCAAAGGAAUUGACGGGGGCCCGCACAAGCGGUGGAGCAUGUGGUUUAAUUCGAAGCAACGCGAAGAACCUUACCAGGUCUUGACAUCCCGGUGACCACUAUGGAGACAUAGUUUCCCCUUCGGGGGCAACGGUGACAGGUGGUGCAUGGUUGUCGUCAGCUCGUGUCGUGAGAUGUUGGGUUAAGUCCCGCAACGAGCGCAACCCUUAUUCUUAGUUGCCAUUCAUUCAGUUGGGCACUCUAAGGAGACUGCCGGUGAUAAACCGGAGGAAGGUGGGGAUGGACGUCAAAUCAUCAUGCCCCUUAUGACCUGGGCUACACACGUGCUACGAUGGACGGUGCAAACGGUUGCCAACCCGCGAGGGGGAGCUAAUCCGAUAAAACCGUUCUCAGUUCGGAUUGUAGGCUGCAACUCGCCUAC
RNAcentral lists this ribosomal RNA (547 nucleotides) under uncultured bacterium. RNAcentral describes it as "bacterial SSU rRNA". It matches the Rfam family "Bacterial small subunit ribosomal RNA", at positions 777 to 1319 of the family's 1533-position model. The record is from RNAcentral.